This 435-nucleotide small RNA is filed under the name Pongo abelii (Sumatran orangutan). RNAcentral's name for it is "retained intron". The record is from RNAcentral. Lineage: Eukaryota; Metazoa; Chordata; Mammalia; Primates; Hominidae.
AGCCAGUCAGUCCGGGAGCUGCUCACCAUGCAGUUGGUGGAUUGGCAUCAGCUCCAAGCAGACUCCUUCAUCCAGGAUGAGAGACUGCGCAUCUUUGCUCUGUUGGCUGGAAAACCGGUGUGGCAGCUCUCAGAAAAUAAGCAAAUAAACGUGUGCUCCCAGUUGGAUUGGAAACGCUCCCUGGCUAUCCAUCUUUGGUAUUUGCUUCCACCAACAGCCUCCAUUUCUAGGGCGCUUAGCAUGUAUGAAGAAGCAUUUCAGGUAUAUGUGGCCAAUAGAGCCAAGCAAAAAUCUUGCUGGGUGUUAAAGUAUUGUCAAAUUGAAGCGGAGCCAGGAAAUCUGAUGGGAAACUAUCCUUUAUUCCUUCCUCUGGACAAGGCUACUUCUCCAAGUGUCGUUUUUAUUUUAUUUAAUAUCAUGAGAUUCCACAGUUGA